Nicotiana tabacum (common tobacco) is the source of this 546-nucleotide long non-coding RNA. RefSeq lists it as uncharacterized. Lineage: Eukaryota; Viridiplantae; Streptophyta; Magnoliopsida; Solanales; Solanaceae. The record is from RefSeq and is a predicted model, not a curated record.
UCUUAUGUAUAUAUGCUGAGUGACCUGCUUAAGGCGACUAUUGUUUCGACUAUCCCUGACUCUCUUCUUUGUUUGUAUCAAAUUCGUUCCUUCUUUCCUUCUAUUUCUUUUCCGAGUUUCUUCUCUGUCACUAUGGUAUUUUUCCAUCGAUCCUAUAAGAUGAGGCACUACUCACGAAAGUGGAGCUUGAAAUUAAAUCUGUCAAGAAAGAUCUUGCCAUAGAAUAUGAAAGGAGAGCAAGAAGUUACUUUGGUGAUUAGUAAAGUAACAACAGGUAGAAACGGCAGGAGACAGAAUAGUGUCUUUAUUGUAAGAGUUGAAUCAAAGCAAAAAUAAUCUGGUGCUAGCUCGAUGUUGGUGAAUGAUGAAUAUCGUGUAAUAUCUCAUGUUAUGUCUUUUUUAAGCUGUUAUCUUUUUAGCUUUUGAAGUUAGUAAUUUUGAGAAGCAAAGUAAUCGGUCAUACUAAAAAUCUUUAAUGUACUGUAUAUAACCAAAUGAAGUUGUAAUUUGUCUACAGCUUUUCAUUUAGCACCCAUUUAUAUUCAA